Molecule: ribosomal RNA, 378 nt
Filed under: uncultured bacterium
Lineage: Bacteria
Description: bacterial SSU rRNA
Rfam family: Bacterial small subunit ribosomal RNA
Source: RNAcentral
UAAGACGGAGGGCGCAAGCGUUGUUCGGAAUUACUGGGCGUAAAGGGCGGGUAGGUGGUCUGUUAAGUCUUCUGUGAAAAUCCGGGGCUCAACCCCGCGAAAUGCAGGUGAAACUGGCGGACUCGAGACCGGUAGAGGCUAGCGGAAUUCCUGGUGUAGCGGUGGAAUGCGUAGAUAUCAGGAAGAACACCUGUGGCGAAGGCGGCUAGCUGGGCCGGUUCUGACACUGAACUGCGAAAGCGUGGGGAGCAAACAGGAUUAGAUACCCUGGUAGCCCACGCCGUAAACGAUGGGCACUAGAUGCCGGGCAUAUAGACGUGUUCGGUGUCGCAGCUAACGCAUUAAGUGCCCCGCCUGGGGAGUACGGUCGCAAGGCUG